GGAAGGAUCAUUAUCGAAAAGCAAUCCGGGGGGGAGGCCACCGAGCGAAGUUUGGUAGAUCGUAGGGAUUGUCGCUGGCCUUUGGAAACGAAGGCAUGUGCACGUUCCGAGUUCUCCUUAGUCCUCCUUUGCCUUUCCUUUGGAAGACCCUUUCUUCACACCCGUGCACACAUUGUAGGUCUCCGCGAGGGGAUCUAUGUCUUCACAAAACUCUACGUAUGUCCAGGAAUGUAUCUAAAGCGUCGAACGGCUCGGCUCCAUGCCCGGUCGCCGACGGUAAAGAACCAUAAUACAACUUUCAGCAACGGAUCUCUUGGCUCUCGCAUCGAUGAAGAACGCAGCGAAUUGCGAUAAGUAAUGUGAAUUGCAGAUUUUCAGUGAAUCAUCGAAUCUUUGAACGCACCUUGCGCUCCUUGGUAUUCCGAGGAGCAUGCCUGUUCGAGUGUCAUUUAAUUCUCAACCAUCCCUCGAUUCGUUUCGAGGUUUGGCUUGGACUUUGGGGGCUGCCGGCGACCCUCGGGUCUUCGGCUCUCCUUAAAAGCAUUAGCGAUGGCGGCGCGAUCUGACCAUGCAUGAACGGCCUUCGACGUGAUAAUGAUCGUCGUGGCUGGAGUGCUAGCGGGCGUCGUGAAGUCAGCGCUUCUAGAUCGUCGUCGAAAGACGAAACUUUGAAACUUGACCUCGAAUCAGGUAGGACUACCCGCUGAACUUAAGCAUAUCAAUAAGCGGAGGAAAAGAAACUAACAAGGAUUCCCCUAGUAACUGCGAGUGAAGCGGGAUGAGCUCAAAUUUUGAAUCUGGCGGUCUUCAGGCCGUCCGAGUUGUAAUCUAGAGAAGCGUCUUCCGCGCUGGACCGUGUACAAGUCUCCUGGAAGGGAGCGUCGUAGAGGGUGAGAAUCCCGUCUUUGACACGGACCCCCAGUGCUAUGUGAUGCGCUCUCGACGAGUCGAGUUGUUUGGGAAUGCAGCUCAAAUCGGGUGGUAAACUCCAUCUAAAGCUAAAUAUUGGCGAGAGACCGAUAGCGAACAAGUA
This 1033-nucleotide ribosomal RNA is filed under the name uncultured fungus. Its description in RNAcentral is "eukaryotic LSU rRNA". The stretch from base 677 to 1033 matches the Rfam family "Eukaryotic large subunit ribosomal RNA", at positions 1 to 350 of the family's 3401-position model. The record is from RNAcentral. Lineage: Eukaryota; Fungi.